Molecule: RNA transcript, 2567 nt
Organism: Drosophila ananassae
Lineage: Eukaryota; Metazoa; Arthropoda; Insecta; Diptera; Drosophilidae
Gene name: scavenger receptor class B member 1
Exons: 12
Source: RefSeq, a predicted model, not a curated record
UUACCAGUCGAUCGAAUCUCAUCCAAGCUUUUAUUCAUAAGCGAGCUAUGUUUGCGAACGGUCGCCUUCGCGAUAAAAGACAACAUUCAAUAAAAAUCUACGGUUAAAAUAUUUUUAAAGGCUGCAGCAGAAAAACAUAAACACGUUUUAAGUGCCGUGGUUUAAGUAAUUUUAAUUUUACCAAAAUUAAGUACCAAGUGAAAAUCCAAUACCUACUUUAAACGUUUCUUUAUAUAAAAAGUCCCUGAAAGCUAAAUAUGAAGGAUUUCGGAAAAAUGUUCUCGGGUCGUUAUAGUGCCGUUUGUGUGAGCGAAGACGAUGACAACAAUCAGCAGCAGUCAACGACAACGGCAGAUUCAUCAGGCUUUCAAAGCGUUGGUCCUGCUACGACAUCAUCCGCCAUGGCUGCAAUGCAUCGUAACCAACGUCGAAAGAGUCUCAAGGCAAAUCGCUCCAUGUAUCCAAUGGGUAUAUUGAACGGUUUUUUUAUGGAAACCAACCAGGGGAGCCAAAACAGAGUGCCUACGCGUACAUUUUUACUGCUAGCAGUCGGUUUUUUGGCUAUAACAACAGCGGUGCUGGUUAAAGUAUUUCAACCCUACGAUUUAAUAUUUAAAUGGAAAUUAAUAAUGGCAGAAGGAGGAGAAAUUUUCAACCUUUGGGCACAGCCUCCAGUCGAUUUGUAUAUAAAGAUAUAUCUGUUUAAUAUAACCAACGCCGAAGACUUUCUUGCGGGUCGCGAACAGUUAAAAGUGGAACAAGUAGGCCCUUAUGUCUAUAAAGAAAUAAUGACUCAUGAAAAUGUAAUAUUCAAUGAGAAUGAUACCAUGUCUAGCUCACCUAGUCAUCCUUUAGUAUGGCAACAGCACUUGUCAGAGGGACGACGUGAAGACGAUCCGGUUGUAAUGCUUAACAUUGCCAUGUUGGCCAUAUCGCAUCUUACUGCCAACCAUCCGUUUUUUGUUCGAAUGGCUUUAAAAACUCUACUUGUGAGUACGAAAUCGGAACCAAUAGUUCAAACCACUGCCAAGGAGUUUAUGUUCGGUUAUCCGUCAGCGCUGGCUACAUUGGGCAACACAUUUUUACCCAACUGGAUAUCCUUCGAAAAAGUGGGACUAAUAGACCGCAUGUAUGACUUUUCAACGGACUUUGAGACCUUUUACACGGGAAAGUCAAAUCCGGCCGAGUCUGGCUUGUAUGCAACCUACAGAGGAGAGGCAUCGUUACCUCAGUGGGAGAAUGAACAUUGUAGCAACAUUGAACACGCUUCUGAUGGAACCAAGUUCAAAAGUUUUCUUUUGCCCAACGAGACAGUAAAGUUCUUUCGGAAGAGCAUGUGCAGACCCAUCCACUUGUAUCGAGUUGGUGAAAAGAAAAAAAUUGGAAGCCUAAGUGGUUACAGUUAUGUGUUUGAGGACAACGCAUUUGACAAUGGAGUAACAAAUGAUGCCAACAAAUGCUUCUGUAGAAAAGGUUAUUGUCAGCCCGUAGGAUUAAUUGACGUCACCGAUUGUUACUAUGGAUUUCCAAUAUCUCUAAGCUUUCCUCAUUUCAUGGGGGGCGAUGUGGGUCUCCAGAAAAACAUAACCGGCAUGAAUCCUGAUCCGGCCAUACAUUCUUCAGAGUUUAUCAUACAACCGGAAUCAGGAUUGCCACUAUCGUUGUCAGUAAAAGUUCAAAUAAACAUGCACUUUCAAAAUUUGAACAAUUAUCAAGCUGCUUCGAAAUUCAGUCACCUGACAGUGCCUAUGCUUUGGUUUGAGAUUAUGAUGCCCAAACUUCCGGACUUCUUAGAUUCUCGCUUCAACUUUUAUCUUAACCUACUUCCGUUGGUUAAUCCAUUAUCUUUCUGGAGUGCGCUUUUAUUAGGAGUAAGCCUCCUUGGAUAUGCUAUUACCAAGGCAACACUGCAAAUGUCUAAUUACGCUCGCAAGACGACCACAAUUUCCGAGAGAAAGUUUGCUCGAGUCAAUCUUAUUAAAAAUCUUUCUGGUGGCACGCCCACUCAAGCUCUAGGAGCAUGCGAGAUGAAAUUUAUUAAUGAUCGACAAGGAGUUAAACAUAAGAUAAGACGAUCUAACAACACAGAUUUAAAGUUUCAGAAUCUACAUCGGUUGUCGAAAUUAGCUUUAGAAAUAGAACCAGCUUUGUCAGAUUCCGAGGAAAAUAACGACGAAGGCAGAAACUGCAAAACUGUAUAUUCUAACUUGAGUAUUUCCAGCUCAUGCAGUACUGCAGAAUUAAAUAAUGAAGUGAAAGCUUUGGAUUCUUUCGAACAGGAAGGUAUGUUAAUUUUGUCCAGAUGUUUGUAAUGCAUUGUUGAAUCCAUUUCCAUAACUGAUUGAUUUGGAAAUGCUCUUUCUAGAGCGACGGCGCUGGCAUACGCAUGCUCAUACUUAAUCUUAGCCAACUCUGCCACACAAUCUUUGAUGAUCUUUGCUAUUGUUCAAUAAUGUGAUCACCAGCUGAUCUUCUUCUAUACGGAGUCUAAGAUCCCAAAUGUAUAAGGAAAGGCAAAAGGAGCAUAACUGAAUGUAUUAAAAAUAAAAAAGAAGUUGGUUGUUGUA